Micropterus dolomieu (smallmouth bass) is the source of this 561-nucleotide long non-coding RNA. RefSeq lists it as uncharacterized. Lineage: Eukaryota; Metazoa; Chordata; Actinopteri; Centrarchiformes; Centrarchidae. The transcript is spliced from 2 exons. The record is from RefSeq and is a predicted model, not a curated record.
GGCUCACUCUUCCGUGGUUGCUCGCGUUAGACUGUGUGACUUACAGUGUGGUUGACUUACUGUGUGGUUUAUUGUGUGGUUUAUUGUGUGGUCCGUAGCGAGACGUGAUCUGCUGGAUGCCGAUCUUAACUACUCACGCCGUGCGUCUGGUGACUCUGCGGAGGCAGCCAUCGGCCCCGUGUUCACGACCAGCUAGAAGCCAGUGUGGUAGUAACUACUGAAAUUACCAACCGGUUUUUCUUUGAAGAGGAUGUUUGGUUUCUACCUGAUGAAGACCCAAUUGCCCUGAGGAUGAUCUCCCUCCUCUUUUCAACAGUUGCUAGAGAGACGAAAACAAUACAGAAAUACUUAAGGACUACACAUUCUCACAUGUCCAGUGAUGUUAAUGGUAUGUGUCCUACAUCUUUGAUUUCUUAAACUCUGAAAGGACACAAUAAACUUGCUAUGAACAUGUCCAGGGAGGUACACCCUCCCCCAUUAUUACAUUGUGAACAAAUCUGUGUUGAAAUCAUAAUAAACAAAGGAAACCUUGCUGUCAAAUAAAUUAUGUUAUUAUCACGG